UACCUUUCAAUGGGUCAAUAUUAACUUCAGUGAGAGUGGAUAGGAAGCAGUUAGUGUGUAGCUUGCUCUGUCAGUUCCUUCUCAGCUCUGGACCAAGGAAGGCCCCAUGGCUCUCCAUGUAGUUCCACAUCCUGUUGGAAUUUGGGAGUCCCCACCCCGCUUGCUCAAAAACUCAGAUGGUUUUCUUCCUCUCUGAUUAGUGGCAUCCAGGGCCUUGCAUUCCUUCGAUCGGUCCUUACAAGCCUAAUAGCAGAUGUGCCGCUGUGUGGCUCUCUCCCAAAGUUUCACAAGCUGCUGUUGGGUAAUGCCGGAUGCUUUUCAGCUGAAGGAUUUUGCAAAACCCAAGAUGAUGGCAUCUGGGCAGACAUAUUCAGUUUACAUAUUGCUUCCUUUAAAAUGUAUCGCUAAGGCUUACCCCUCUGCAUCAAUUUUUUUUUUUUAGCCAGAAUUUAAAAAUCAUUUUUGAAAUUUUGGAAAACAUCAGCCAUUAACAAAUAUUUAAAAAUUGCAGAAAACUGUGUUUCAGCUCAACAUCUCACUACCGUCUUCCAUAGGGCGCCAGGCCGACUCCCCACAUCCUACAAAUGGUAUGGAAUCUUUUCCCUGUGAUGCCCCAAUACCCAGGAACUGGACCAAUGGGACUCUCCUCUGGAUUCAGCACGAUUCAAUGGGCAAAAAGACUGUGCUGGUGACCGUGUCACUGUGGCGCUCCAUCAUUAACCACUGGCUGUUGAUGAGGACCAAUGACAUCAUUCUGAUGCUGCCAUCGGUGACAUCCACGGAUGCUGGGAACUACACCUGUCAGUGGAAGGAUCAGGCCCGCCAUUUUCAGCUGGAGGUGGCAGCAAAGCCAGCUGCUUGGCUACAAUUAGGAGCCCAACACUGGAUAAUCUGGACUGCGGCCUUGGUACAUAUGAUUGCCUGCCUUGGUUGCCUUUUCUGUUUUCUGUGGCUCCGGCGAGCCAUUCGUGUUCGUAGGCAGAUGAAGCUGAAGGGUCCUGUCCGGAGAAGGUAUUUCUGUGCCAAGAGGAACAGGCCACGUGCUUCCAAUGGGGUUCUGGUGGGACCCUCAGCAAAUGAAGAUGUCUGUGAGCGGGUGGAUGCCUACGAGAAUGUGUUGCCAGACGGGGGUCCAAGGCGUGCCUGUCAGCUGCUUCAGAAAGGAAAGAUCCUACCCAAUACCACUGACAUGGAAGAUGAAGAUGAAGAAGAAUAUGAACAUCCAGACAGUGAAACAGAGCUCAAGUCAGAUGAUGAUGACAACUACGAGAACACCCAGGAAGAAGUGAAGCAGGGAGAUGCGGCUUUGAACGAUGUAUCGCUUUAUGAAAACAGAAAGGACGAGACCAAGUCUGGCUCCCAAAAGUGGGGCUCAGGUAUUUGGAAGUGCGGUGAGCUAUCCGUGUGGGGUGAGGGGUGUGUCAUGUCAGUCUGUUAA
RNAcentral lists this long non-coding RNA (1438 nucleotides) under Podarcis muralis (Common wall lizard). RNAcentral describes it as "lncRNA (ENSPMRG00000021396.1)". Lineage: Eukaryota; Metazoa; Chordata; Lepidosauria; Squamata; Lacertidae. The record is from RNAcentral.